RNAcentral lists this small RNA (646 nucleotides) under Histoplasma capsulatum. Its description in RNAcentral is "hypothetical RNA". Lineage: Eukaryota; Fungi; Ascomycota; Eurotiomycetes; Onygenales; Ajellomycetaceae. The record is from RNAcentral. RNAcentral also lists the same sequence under 1 other name.
AACGAAACCAUGACAGAUUGCUCUCUCGGUGGAGCGGGAUUACGCCAAAUCAGGUCUCCCUGUUGUAGUGUUAGUUACAUCCGGAGAGUUGAAUAAUAUGCCGGCACUUUGUGAUGGACAGGGUUAAGAGACGUAAGCCUGAUUCCGGCGCGAGAUGAAAACCUGACAAGCGAUGAGAGUGCCGCAACUUUCUGCGGGGCAAUUUAGCAAUAGCAAGGGGCAUAGCAAACUCAAAGUAGCAGAUACAUCACCGAUCCAAAAAAUAAAAAGGGCAACGGAUCAGAAAAUGCACUGGACAAAGCAAUAAGCUAGAACACGCAUGGAAAUGAUAAUCGGUGUUGGGUCGUUUGAUCUGACCAUCAUCCUGCACGUGGCGGCGUCCAAGCAAGGCUAGCAAACGGAACAACAAACGAUGGAACAAAAAUCUGGCAGGCCGCCAACUAGCUAGCAUGCGGGUGGCUGUUAGGCUUUCUGACGGCUGGCUUAGAGCCUGACCGGGGAGAUGCAUCCAGCCGUUUCAGGAAACAUGAUGCGAGUCAUGGGCCUCGGCCAGAGAUAAUGUUCGGAGUUGAAUGACAACCAUUGAAGGUCUCGGCAUCAAAUCAAAGCUAAAAACGGCGAAGGACCAAGGGUUAAGUUGUGAACA